RNAcentral lists this non-coding RNA (30 nucleotides) under Mus musculus (house mouse). The record is from RNAcentral. Lineage: Eukaryota; Metazoa; Chordata; Mammalia; Rodentia; Muridae.
UGAAAACUACUGAACUUAAAACCACCUUCA